Molecule: ribosomal RNA, 454 nt
Filed under: uncultured bacterium
Lineage: Bacteria
Description: partial 16S ribosomal RNA
Rfam family: Bacterial small subunit ribosomal RNA
Source: RNAcentral
ACGGAAGGCAGCAGUGAGGAAUGUUGGUCAAUGGGCGAGAGCCUGAACCAGCCAAGUAGCGUGCAGGAUGACGGCCCUAUGGGUUGUAAACUGCUUUUGUGCGGGAAUAACGUGCUCCACGUGUGGGGCAGUGCAUGUACCGUACGAAUAAGGAUCGGCUAACUCCGUGCCAGCAGCCGCGGUAAUACGGAGGAUCCGAGCGUUAUCCGGAUUUAUUGGGUUUAAAGGGAGCGUAGGCGGAAGAUCAAGUCAGCUGUGAAAUGUAGAUGCUCAACAUUUGCACUGCAGUUGAAACUGGUUUUCUUGAGUGCGUAAGGGGCAGGUGGAAUUCGUCGUGUAGCGGUGAAAUGCUUAGAUAUGACGAAGAACUCCGAUCGCGAAGGCAGCUUGCCGGGCCGCAACUGACGCUGAAGCUCGAAGGUGCGGGUAUCGAACAGGAUUAGAUACCCUGGUA